ACGGGUGAGUAAUACAUCGGAACGUAUCCUGGAGUGGGGGAUAGCCCGGCGAAAGCCGGAUUAAUACCGCAUACGCUCUGAGGAGGAAAGCGGGGGACCUUCGGGCCUCGCGCUCAAGGGGCGGCCGAUGGCGGAUUAGGUAGUUGGUGGGGUAAAGGCCUACCAAGCCGACGAUCCGUAGCUGGUCUGAGAGGACGACCAGCCACACUGGGACUGAGACACGGCCCAGACUCCUACGGGAGGCAGCAGUGGGGAAUUUUGGACAAUGGGGGCAACCCUGAUCCAGCAAUGCCGCGUGUGUGAAGAAGGCCUUCGGGUUGUAAAGCACUUUUGUCCGGAAAGAAAUCAUCGGGGCCAAUACCCCUGGUGGAUGACGGUACCGGAAGAAUAAGCACCGGCUAACUACGCGCCAGCAGCCGCGGUAAUACGUAGGGUGCGAGCGUUAAUCGGAAUUACUGGGCGUAAAGCGUGCGCAGGCGGUGCUGUAAGACCGAUGUGAAAUCCCCGGGCUUAACCUGGGAACUGCAUUGGUGACUGCAGCGCUGGAGUAUGGCAGAGGGGGGGUGGAAUUCCACGU
RNAcentral lists this ribosomal RNA (577 nucleotides) under uncultured bacterium. RNAcentral's name for it is "bacterial SSU rRNA". It matches the Rfam family "Bacterial small subunit ribosomal RNA", at positions 102 to 674 of the family's 1533-position model. The record is from RNAcentral.